ACGAGAUAGGAGAUUCUAAAACAUCUAUAUGGCUUUAUCAAAAGAAAUUGAGAAAUACCCUUGAAGCAUUUUUUUUUAUGUUUUAUGUUUAUUUUUUUUAAGUAAUUAGAUUAGUGGGGUAGAUAAGAUCGUCAAAUUAGCCGUGUGUAACAACAAUAUGCAUGUUUGUUUAGUAACUUGGAUAGGAGAUUAUGCGGAAUGCGUGUUAUGUUGCAUGUAAAACAUGACUUCAUAUUCCAAUAACUUAAUAUAAACCAAAACCAAAACCAAAAAAAGAAGAAGACAAAAACUCUUAAAGUCUAACAAUGGUGUAUCUAAUAUAUAUAUAUAUAUAUACAUAUAUACUCUUCAUCAUUGUUGUGAUCAUAAUCUACACGAUGUAUGAUCGAUGACAAGUCAAUGAAGCUGAGGAUGAGCAGGAUUUGGUAGUGGUAAAUAGCGUCUGUUUAUAACUUCUAUGGGCUGGGCUUGUAAAAAGUAUAUAUAUGAUGGGCCUGUUCACUAGAGUCUAGAGGAAUGAAUAGACACACUUUUUGUUUAUAAUAUGUUUUUUUUUUUUCCAUUUUAUCUCGAACUUUGGUAUAAUAAAUAUGUUUAGUUAAUUAACCAUCCAUUUGAAUUUAGAAUGAGAGGGCCCUUUCCUUACGGCGUCUUUCCUCGUUAU
This 664-nucleotide long non-coding RNA is filed under the name Capsella rubella. Its description in RNAcentral is "long non-coding RNA (CRUB_LNC003680)". The record is from RNAcentral. Lineage: Eukaryota; Viridiplantae; Streptophyta; Magnoliopsida; Brassicales; Brassicaceae.